ACUUCGCACUUCCAAAUCACCAAACGCUUCCAAAUCACCAAACGCGUUCUGCUUUCAAAAGCCCCAAUCGCACUUCGUUCACAAAUACAAAAACCCUAAAUGAAUUCUGAUUUUAAUUUCCCCAACGUUCACAAAUACAAAGCCCCAAUGUCUUUGACACGUCACAACCACUACUGUGACUCAUUUGCCACGUUUUACUUAUCUAGUGCCAAAUAAUCAGCCACUUAACGCCGUUAGUGUGUAUUUAACGGAGAUGACUACUUUGACACAAAUUUUUUCAAUGUUUGGAUUCAAUUGACACUUUUACACCACGUGAGGAUGACAAUGAAACUUUUUUAAAAAUGAGGAUGAAUUUGACACAAUUCAACCAAAGUGGGGACAAAGGAAGCAAUUAAGCCUAAUAAUAAUAAUAAUAAUAAAUAUAAAAGUAAUAAAAUUUUCUAGUAUUUUAAGUUGUUAAACAAACUAAGUGAUUUGUCCUGUGUCUAAAUAUUAAAAUAUUGGCUUAAUUAGGGUGAAUACAUAAUAAAUUUUCGAAAGUAUUAAUUGAAUACUUAUUGUAAGACCUUGGAAAAUUAACCCAAAAACCCACCUGUCAAAUCAACAUUAAUGCACUAAAACCUUGCUUAGACAUUUAAAACGCACUUAGAAAACCCUCUGAGCGCUCGCCAGGUGUCAAAAAUGGAACGUUCGAAAAUCAGUAGUGGAAGACAGGUGUCAGUAUGAGAGUGCGCGUUCGUUUUGCCUGGGAAAGAAAAAUGAUUUUUCUGAAACACUUCUUUCCACUCUCUGCAUGCACCCUUCUUCCUCCCGAAACCUGACUUUUCAUUUUCUCAUCCUUCUCUCUAGAAAGAUUCCAUCUUCUCUCUACUAUAACUCACCACUCUUUUCUCCGAUCAACAUUCAGAAACCGUAGGAUCGUUCCCUGAGUCGUGAGCUUUAAUUUGGACCGAACAGUUUCAGAAUCUGAAGCUGAUUAAGUUGGAAUUGUUAAGUGAUCGUGUGGAUAGAAAGCUGUGAGCGGACGAACCAAAACCUUGCGUAUUGAACGUUUCAGUCACGAAUCCUGGAAAAUUUUGGAAAUAUAAUUUGGGACAUUUGGAAGGUUGUCACUUAAUUCAAGACUCUUCAUAAAAGAAGUGUGCACAAGAAAGAGGACACUAUGAUGAUUUUACUCUUUGGCCCUUUGAGAAAGGGGUGCUUCAAUUGAAAAAGGGGGUGCGUCCAGCAAGCACAGGCUUCAAUUAUUACAUCCAACAGCGGUCCAGCACGGGAGUCCAGCUUGGCAGCAGCAAAGAAGAACGGCGUCCAGCAAAAAUGAGAGGGCACACGAGGGUUUAAAAACCCUUGGAGGAGAAAAAAGAGUGGGGCUUUGAUUUUUGGUAGAGAAGAAUGUAAGAGGUGUGCACGGUGAUUGUUGGGGAAGUGUGUGCUCCAACCGCCACCUAGGGAGAAGUUCAUUUAUUUGGCAAAGAGAAAUGCUGCACGGAGAUUCAAGGGAAGAGAUUCAUAUAUUUUAUUUCAUUUCUUUAGUGAAGCACAUGUUUUACGGUUGAUUUCUUUUCCUCGUUCAAGUAGGAAGCUUGCAUUCAUUUCUUUACUUUAGGAAAAGCUCAUAUCCAUCACGCUGGCAGUAGUGCACGCGGGUUGCUUCAGCAGAUUUUUCUAUUCCUUCUUUUAUUUAAACUUGAACCAUGAAGUAUCUUUUAUAUUCUGAUAUUACUGGAUGCAUCAUUUAAGAAGCUACUCAUUUUACAUUGUUUUUU
This is a long non-coding RNA of Vigna angularis (adzuki bean), 1766 nucleotides long. RefSeq lists it as uncharacterized. The transcript has 3 exons. The record is from RefSeq and is a predicted model, not a curated record. NCBI's taxonomy places the organism in Eukaryota, Viridiplantae, Streptophyta, Magnoliopsida, Fabales, Fabaceae.